AGGCCCUGCAGGUGGCCGGGUCGCAGGCCAGCCGCUGGAGCGGGAGCGGAGCGGUAACCUGACCCCCUGGCGACAGUAGCUGGUCGGUUGCUGGAGGCUGGGGCUACUCAUGGCCGAAGGGGCCGGGUUUGGGACACUCAAGGCCUCCAGGAGACGUGUCUUGGGCCAGGCUCCUGGAGGACUGGCAAGUAGGUAGGGGCUCCGUGGCCUUUGGUGGCAGUAAGGAGGAGGGGGCUCCAGAGACCCGAGAGUCUGGUUUGGGAAGGAAGGUGCGCCAGGCUGCAACUGGAGUCAGUGAAGUGUUGGAUGAAGUAGACCUUACUCCCGAUAUGGCUUGUGGACAGCAGAAGAUCCAGUCUCAGCAGAAAAAUGCCAAAAAGCAAGCUGGACAAAAGAAGAAACAAGGACAUGAUCAAAAGGCUGCUGUCAAAGCUGCCUUAAUAUAUACCUGCACUGUUUGUAGGACACAAAUGCCAGACCCUAAGACCUUCAAGCAGCACUUUGAGAGCAAGCAUCCUAAGACUCCACUUCCUCCAGAACUGGCUGGUGUUCAGGCAUAAAGUUGUUUACAGGUGAAUUCAUGACACCUUUGACUCUUCUACUGUCUCAGACCUUAGGUAACAAACCUGCAGCUGCUUUUCUAACAAACUGUUGAUCAGCAAAAAUAAAGGGGCUACAGAAACACUCAUUUUUAUGCUGUUCCCUUUUGGGCUUCAUGCAAAGACAAUUCUGUGUAAAUGUACAGUUGACUCUCAUUUGGAAACCUGAAAAUCAGUCCAUCCUUGUUAUAAAAAAUUUUUUUUACAAUUGUAAUUAUAUUGAUGUUCAUAUUGUGUAAAAUAACUCAUUUAAUAAAGUAGUGCUUUGAUUUUACAACAACA
This is a non-coding RNA of Microcebus murinus (gray mouse lemur), 881 nucleotides long. The record is from RefSeq and is a predicted model, not a curated record. Lineage: Eukaryota; Metazoa; Chordata; Mammalia; Primates; Cheirogaleidae.